UAGGGAAUAUUAGAAAUGGACGAAAGUCUGAUCUAGCAACACCGCGUGUGCGAUGAAGGCCUUCGGGUUGUAAAGCACUUUUUGGAAGGAUUAGGAAGGAAUGUACUUCCAGAAUAAGUCUCGGCUAACUACGUGCCAGCAGCCGCGGUAACACGUAGGAGGCGAACGUUAUCCGGAUUUACUGGGCGUAAAGCGCGUGUAGGUGGUUCUGUAAGUAGGGCGUGAAAGCUCCUGGCUCAACUGGGAGAGGCCGUUCUAAACUGCAGAGCUAGAGGAUGGUAGAGGGAGGUGGAAUUCCGGGUGUAGCGGUGGAAUGCGCAGAUAUCCGGAGGAACACCCGUGGCGAAGGCGGCCUCCUGGACUAUUCCUGACACUCAGACGCGAAAGCUAGGGUAGCAAACG
Molecule: ribosomal RNA, 402 nt
Filed under: uncultured prokaryote
Description: bacterial SSU rRNA
Rfam family: Bacterial small subunit ribosomal RNA
Source: RNAcentral